CGCUGUGCCCCGGAAGCGGAAGUGUGGCUCCCGAUCUGUCAGAGGCUCGGUGCUGCUCGGUGGUCCUGAAGUCUAGGAAAGUCGUUUCUCGCUCAUUUUCCGUGGCUGUCGAGCGCUUCCCCCCGGCGGGUGGGAGUGCAGAGCCGGAAGUGCAGGAUGAGCACCAUGUUCGCGGACACGCUGCUCAUCGUGUUCAUCUCCGUGUGCACAGCUCUUCUCGCCGAGGGUAUCACCUGGGUUCUGGUUUACAGGACGGACAAGUACAAGAGGCUGAAGGCGGAAGUGGAAAAACAGAGUAAAAAAUUGGAAAAGAAGAAGGAAACAAUAACAGAGUCAGCUGGCCGACAACAGAAAAAGAAAAUAGAGAGGCAAGAAGAGAAGCUGAAGAACAACAACAGAGACCUAUCCAUGGUUCGAAUGAAAUCCAUGUUUGCAAUUGGCUUUUGUUUUACUGCCCUGAUGGGGAUGUUCAAUUCCAUAUUUGAUGGCAGAGUGGUGGCAAAGCUCCCUUUCACGCCCCUUUCCUACAUCCAAGGGCUGUCCCAUCGAAAUCUGCUGGGGGAUGACACCACUGACUGCUCCUUCAUCUUCCUGUAUAUUCUCUGCACCAUGUCCAUUCGGCAGCUGCCUUGACCUUCACACCCAGCUAUUUCCUUUGUGCAUUUGUAGCGGUGGAAGCGGUAGGCCCGCCAACUUCCCUGAGAGGUGUCAGUAACAGUCCAGGGUGGUGACGGGCAUUUCCUUCACUCCUUCAUUAAGAACAUCCAGAAGAUUCUCGGCCUUGCCCCUUCGCGAGCUGCCACCAAGCAGGCAGGCGGGUUUCUUGGCCCUCCACCUCCUUCUGGGAAGUUCUCCUGAAAUCAAGAAGAAUCUGCAAUUCCUGCCACUUUUUAAGGUCUUCAAAUUAGAGGAGCAACUAUUUUAUAGCAAGAGCCACCGGCAGCCUUGGCACUCGGGCCACUUUCUCGCCUUGUUUCUAGACUUUAUGGAUGUGAUUAGAGUGCGAACGGCACCCAGCAAACCAGACGGCAGCGUGCCCACUAGAUAAGUGGAGGGGCGUCUGUGAUGAGAAAGUCUUCUUGUUUUGUUUACCCGAACAUUUUCGUGGGACCGACGCGAGACGGCUGUGUGCCCAGGAAGCCGGCUGCGCAAGCCUUUAGCGGUCAGAAAGGAAAGUAGCUUUCCAGUAGUUAGUUAUGACUCUUAAUCGUGUGGGUUUUUUAAGCCAAAUCUAUGACCUGUGAUCAAUAAAGAGGCCAAAAUUUU
Myotis daubentonii (Daubenton's bat) is the source of this 1266-nucleotide RNA transcript. It is a transcript of the gene named transmembrane and coiled-coil domains 1, with no coding region annotated. NCBI's taxonomy places the organism in Eukaryota, Metazoa, Chordata, Mammalia, Chiroptera, Vespertilionidae. The record is from RefSeq and is a predicted model, not a curated record.